CAUAGCAAAAGUUUGGAGCUUUGUCUGCUGAAAGUCAGUUUUGAAACAAUUGAAUGAAAGGAGAGCUACUGACUGAUAUCAUAAGCUACAGUAGGGAACGUAGUGAUUAAACGUUUAGCCGGUGUAGUAGCGACGAAAUCCAUACCUCAGAGGUUGCCAGCUAAACCAGUUCCAAAGAGUAGUCGAAGAUUGAGAGCAUUCCUGCUAUCAAGAAACCUGUUAUCAAGAAGCCUGAUAUCAAAAAACCUGAUAUCAAGACAUGCAGCACUGUCAAAUCGCUCCAGUACCUUGGUCGAGUUAAAUCGUUUCUGCUCAGAUGUCCGCUGGAGUACUUCGUAAUGUUGUUCUAAGGAUGA
This is a long non-coding RNA of Bolinopsis microptera, 356 nucleotides long. RefSeq lists it as uncharacterized. The record is from RefSeq and is a predicted model, not a curated record. Lineage: Eukaryota; Metazoa; Ctenophora; Tentaculata; Lobata; Bolinopsidae. The transcript has 4 exons.